UACGUAGGGGCAAGCGUUGUCCGGAAUCAUUGGGCGUAAAGCGCGUGUAGGCGGCUCAGUAAGUCCGCUCUGAAAGCCCGGGGCUUAACCCCGGGAGGCGGGUGGAUACUGCUGAGCUUGAGUCCGGAAGAGGCGAGUGGAAUUCCCGGUGUAGCGGUGAAAUGCGCAGAUAUCGGGAGGAACACCAAUGGCGAAGGCAGCCUCCUGGGCCAACACUGACGC
This 222-nucleotide ribosomal RNA is filed under the name uncultured bacterium. RNAcentral describes it as "partial 16S ribosomal RNA". It matches the Rfam family "Bacterial small subunit ribosomal RNA", at positions 524 to 746 of the family's 1533-position model. The record is from RNAcentral.